GGCGCAAAAUAGCUAAUCAUCCAAUAGAGUGGUAUAAUAUUCCCUUAGCAUGGGAAUGGUCCAGGGUUCGAUUCCCUGCAUCUCCA
This 86-nucleotide transfer RNA is filed under the name Umbilicaria muhlenbergii. RNAcentral's name for it is "tRNA-Ala (AGC) (tRNA-Ala-AGC-1-1)". The stretch from base 23 to 78 matches the Rfam family "tRNA", at positions 9 to 63 of the family's 71-position model. Rfam says of the family: Transfer RNA (tRNA) molecules are approximately 80 nucleotides in length. Their secondary structure includes four short double-helical elements and three loops (D, anti-codon, and T loops). The record is from RNAcentral. Lineage: Eukaryota; Fungi; Ascomycota; Lecanoromycetes; Umbilicariales; Umbilicariaceae.